RNAcentral lists this long non-coding RNA (1299 nucleotides) under Serinus canaria (Common canary). Its description in RNAcentral is "lncRNA (ENSSCAG00000003784.1)". The record is from RNAcentral. Lineage: Eukaryota; Metazoa; Chordata; Aves; Passeriformes; Fringillidae.
AGGCCUGACUGUGUCCUCGUCGACGUUUGCAGAAGCCGUAGGACGACGAGACAAGAGCGAGCCGCAGGAGCGGCCUCUUCGAGCUCAAGAGUGGAACGGCGAGGCAAGAGCGAGCCGCAGGGGCGGCCUCUUCGGGCUCAAGAGUGGAACGGCGUGGCAAGAGCGAGCCGCAGGAGCGGCCUCUUCGGGCUCAAGAGUGGAACGGCGUGGCAAGAGCGAGCCGCAGGGGCGGCCUCUUCGGGCUCAAGAGUGGAACGGCGUGGCAAGAGCGAGCCGCAGGAGCGGCGUCUUCGAGCUCAAGAGUGGAACGGCGUGGCAAGAGUGAGCUUCAGCAUUGGCGGCUUCGGGCUCAGGAGUGGAACAGCAAGAAGCCGUGGGACGACGAGGUAAGAGCGGCAGCGUCUUCGAGCUCAAGAGUGGAACGGCGUGGCAAGAGCGAGCUUGGAGCUGAAGAGGGAGACGAGGGGCCCUCUGGGCAAAGGGCUUUUCCAGGCCAGGGCACCUUCACGGUGCCAAGGCCGGCUUUGCGCUGGGCGACCCCCCUGUGCGCAGGGCUGGGUCUUUGCUGUGGUCGGCCUUUUGCCCUUGUGCUCCUUUGGCUGCCCGGAGAGAGGGGCAACCCUGUAAAGGAGGGUGAGAGCCCCUGUCUCCGCACCGGAGGGGGGAAACGGAGCUCUCCCGGCCCCCAGCCCAGCUACCCUGUAAGCAGGGCAGGGCUUUUCCCCAGCCCCGGCAGCUUUCUGCCUUCUGCUGGCCCCUGGCCAGUGUGACCCCCUGUACUCGGGGCGUCACAGCCUGUGUCCCUGUGCCAGGCCUGAAGCGCUUCAGCGCGUCGAGGCCCCUGUGGCCUCCCCUCAGUGCACGGGCAGGUCUGAUGCUUUCCUCUCCUGCCCAGCAUUAGGAAUGGCUCCCUAGAGUAGGUUGGCUGCACAGAACUUGCUCCCUCUUCUGGGACUGUCUCCCCCUCCCCUGUCUCCCCGUCCCGUGUCUUCCCCUUAGUUGGUGUGAGUGAGAAAGCGUGUUUGUGCUUUAGCCCCCCCGCUUUAGAAACAGAGCAGUGUAGCUUAGACUUCCCAGGAGGGAAAGAGGAGCUCUGUGCAGCCACAGGCGGGUGCCCAAAAUGCACGGGUGGAGAAAGCGUCCAGCCUUGCGCCUGCUUUCUGAGGAUGGCGCGAAGCCGCUUAGCGGCAGCGUGGGCAGCAUGACCCGCCUGUAGCCAGGGCCUGGGCGUGCGCCUGUGCUGCCGGUCGUGCUGGUGAGCUGCCAGCGUGCGGGCCCUGUACUCAGGGCACGUGUCAG